This 808-nucleotide ribosomal RNA is filed under the name Priestia megaterium. RNAcentral's name for it is "bacterial SSU rRNA". It matches the Rfam family "Bacterial small subunit ribosomal RNA", at positions 56 to 843 of the family's 1533-position model. Lineage: Bacteria; Bacillati; Bacillota; Bacilli; Caryophanales; Bacillaceae. The record is from RNAcentral.
UGCAAGUCGAGCGAACUGAUUAGAAGCUUGCUUCUAUGACGUUAGCGGCGGACGGGUGAGUAACACGUGGGCAACCUGCCUGUAAGACUGGGAUAACUUCGGGAAACCGAAGCUAAUACCGGAUAGGAUCUUCUCCUUCAUGGGAGAUGAUUGAAAGAUGGUUUCGGCUAUCACUUACAGAUGGGCCCGCGGUGCAUUAGCUAGUUGGUGAGGUAACGGCUCACCAAGGCAACGAUGCAUAGCCGACCUGAGAGGGUGAUCGGCCACACUGGGACUGAGACACGGCCCAGACUCCUACGGGAGGCAGCAGUAGGGAAUCUUCCGCAAUGGACGAAAGUCUGACGGAGCAACGCCGCGUGAGUGAUGAAGGCUUUCGGGUCGUAAAACUCUGUUGUUAGGGAAGAACAAGUACAAGAGUAACUGCUUGUACCUUGACGGUACCUAACCAGAAAGCCACGGCUAACUACGUGCCAGCAGCCGCGGUAAUACGUAGGUGGCAAGCGUUAUCCGGAAUUAUUGGGCGUAAAGCGCGCGCAGGCGGUUUCUUAAGUCUGAUGUGAAAGCCCACGGCUCAACCGUGGAGGGUCAUUGGAAACUGGGGAACUUGAGUGCAGAAGAGAAAAGCGGAAUUCCACGUGUAGCGGUGAAAUGCGUAGAGAUGUGGAGGAACACCAGUGGCGAAGGCGGCUUUUUUGGUCUGUAACUGACGCUGAGGCGCGAAAGCGUGGGGGAGCAAACAGGAUUAGAUACCCUGGUAGUCCACGCCGUAAACGAAGAGUGCUAAUUGUUCAGGGUUUCCCCCCCUUUU